AUUGAACGCUGGCGGCAUGCCUUACACAUGCAAGUCGAACGGCAGCACGGGAGCAAUCCUGGUGGCGAGUGGCGAACGGGUGAGUAAUAUAUCGGAACGUGCCCGGUCGUGGGGAUAACGUAGCGAAAGCUACGCUAAUACCGCAUACGAUCUACGGAUGAAAGCGGGGGGAUCGCAAGACCUCGCGCGAUUGGAGCGGCCGAUAUCAGAUUAGGUAGUUGGUGAGGUAAAGGCUCACCAAGCCGACGAUCUGUAGCUGGUCUGAGAGGACGACCAGCCACACUGGGACUGAGACACGGCCCAGACUCCUACGGGAGGCAGCAGUGGGGAAUUUUGGACAAUGGGCGCAAGCCUGAUCCAGCAAUGCCGCGUGCAGGAUGAAGGCCUUC
Molecule: ribosomal RNA, 389 nt
Filed under: uncultured bacterium
Lineage: Bacteria
Description: bacterial SSU rRNA
Rfam family: Bacterial small subunit ribosomal RNA
Source: RNAcentral